GUUUUCCUUCGGGGCGGGGUGAAAUUCCCCACCGGCGGUGAUAUGAGACGCUUAACAGCGUUUUGUUCAGUCCGUGACCCGUGGGCUUCAGCUUUAUUGCUGCAGUCACCGGUGGACUUGGUGAAAUUCCGAGACCGACAGUAUAGUCUGGAUGGGAGAAGGGAAAA
Molecule: non-coding RNA, 167 nt
Filed under: Paenibacillus sp.
Lineage: Bacteria; Bacillati; Bacillota; Bacilli; Caryophanales; Paenibacillaceae
Also listed under: 1 other name
Description: FMN sequence
Rfam family: FMN riboswitch aptamer (RFN element)
About the family: The RFN element is a highly conserved domain that is found frequently in the 5'-untranslated regions of prokaryotic mRNAs that encode for flavin mononucleotide (FMN) biosynthesis and transport proteins.
Source: RNAcentral